Molecule: ribosomal RNA, 251 nt
Filed under: uncultured bacterium
Lineage: Bacteria
Description: partial 16S ribosomal RNA
Rfam family: Bacterial small subunit ribosomal RNA
Source: RNAcentral
UACGUAGGGUGCAAGCGUUGUCCGGAAUUAUUGGGCGUAAAGAGCUCGUAGGCGGUCUGUCGCGUCUGCUGUGAAAACUCGGGGCUUAACCCCGGGCCUGCAGUGGGUACGGGCUGACUGAGAGUGCGGGUAGGGACUGGAAUUCCUGGUGUAGCGGUGAAAUGCGCAGAUAUCAGGAGGAACACCGGUGGCGAAGGCGGGCUCUGGGCCGUAUGACUGCGUGAGGAGCGAAAGCGUGGGGAGCAAACAGG